GAGGGUAUAGCUCAGUGGUAGAGCGCAUGCCUAGCACACAUGAGGUCCUCGGGUCAAUCGCCAGUACCUCCA
RNAcentral lists this transfer RNA (72 nucleotides) under Camelus bactrianus (Bactrian camel). It matches the Rfam family "tRNA". Rfam says of the family: Transfer RNA (tRNA) molecules are approximately 80 nucleotides in length. Their secondary structure includes four short double-helical elements and three loops (D, anti-codon, and T loops). Lineage: Eukaryota; Metazoa; Chordata; Mammalia; Artiodactyla; Camelidae. The record is from Rfam by way of RNAcentral. RNAcentral also lists the same sequence under 2 other names.